This 262-nucleotide ribosomal RNA is filed under the name uncultured bacterium. RNAcentral describes it as "partial 16S ribosomal RNA". The record is from RNAcentral.
CUGCUGCCUCCCGUAGGAGUUUGGUCCGUGUCUCAGUACCAAUGUGGGGGACCUUCCUCUCAGAACCCCUAUCCAUCGUCGGUUUGGUGGGCCGUUACCCCGCCAACUGCCUAAUGGAACGCAUGCCUAUCUAUCAGCGAUGAAUCUUUAGCAAAUAUCCCCAUGCGGGGCCCCUGCUUCAUGCGGUAUUAGUCCGACUUUCGCCGGGUUAUCCCCCUCCUGAUAGGCAAGUUGCAUACGCGUUACUCACCCGUGCGCCCGG